AGUGAACGCUGGCGGUAGGCCUAACACAUGCAAGUCGAACGGCAGCACAGUAAGAGCUUGCUCUUACGGGUGGCGAGUGGCGGACGGGUGAGGAAUACAUCGGAAUCUACUUUUUCGUGGGGGAUAACGUAGGGAAACUUACGCUAAUACCGCAUACGACCUACGGGUGAAAGCAGGGGAUCUUCGGACCUUGCGCGAUUGAAUGAGCCGAUGUCGGAUUAGCUAGUGGGCGGGGUAAAGGCCCACCAAGGCGACGAUCCGUAGCUGGUCUGAGAGGAUGAUCGGCCACACUGGAACUGAGCAACGGUCCAGACUCCUACGGGAGGCAGCGGUGGGGAAUAUUGGACAAUGGGCGCAAGCCUGAUCCAGCCAUACCGCGUGGGUGAAGAAGGCCUUCGGGUUGUAAAGCCCUUUUGUUGGGAAAGAAAAGCAGCAGGUUAAGACCCCGCUGUUCUGACGGUACCCAAAGAAUAAGCACCGGCUAACUUCGU
Molecule: ribosomal RNA, 491 nt
Filed under: uncultured bacterium
Lineage: Bacteria
Description: partial 16S ribosomal RNA
Rfam family: Bacterial small subunit ribosomal RNA
Source: RNAcentral